GACGAACGCUGACGGUGUGCUUUAGACAUGCAAGUCGAACGAGAAAGCCCUUCGGGUGAGUACAGUGGCGAGCGGGUGAGUAACACGUGGGCAACCUGCCCCUCGCAGGGGGACAACCGGAGGAAACUCCGGCUAAUACCCCGUAAGCUUGUUGGGUCGCAUGACCCUUCAAGGAAAGGUAGCUUCGGCCAUCCGGCGAGGGAUGGGCCCGCGGUACAUUAGCUAGUUGGUGGGGUAACGGCCCACCAAGGCGACGAUGUAUAGCUGGUCUGAGAGGAUGAUCAGCCACACUGGGACUGAGACACGGCCCAGACUCCUACGGGAGGCAGCAGGUCGGGAAUCUUGCGCAAUGGGCGAAAGCCUGACGC
This 368-nucleotide ribosomal RNA is filed under the name uncultured bacterium. RNAcentral describes it as "bacterial SSU rRNA". It matches the Rfam family "Bacterial small subunit ribosomal RNA", at positions 28 to 389 of the family's 1533-position model. The record is from RNAcentral.